RNAcentral lists this ribosomal RNA (373 nucleotides) under uncultured organism. Its description in RNAcentral is "partial 16S ribosomal RNA". It matches the Rfam family "Bacterial small subunit ribosomal RNA", at positions 527 to 896 of the family's 1533-position model. The record is from RNAcentral.
GAACCGUGCUAACGUUAUUCGGAAUCACUGGGCUUAAAGAGUGCGUAGGCGGCCUGGCAGGUUGGGUGUGAAAUCCCUCGGCUCAACCGAGGAACUGCGCUCAAAACCGCCAGGCUUGAGGGAGAUAGAGGUGAGUGGAACUGAUGGUGGAGCGGUGAAAUGCGUUGAUAUCAUCAGGAACACCGGUGGCGAAAGCGGCUCACUGGGUCUCUUCUGACGCUGAGGCACGAAAGCCAGGGGGGAGCGAACGGGAUUAGAUACCCCGGUAGUCCUGGCUGUAAACGAUGAGCACUGGAUCGAGGGACCCGUCCACAAUUCCUCGGUCGUAGCGAAAGUGUUAAGUGCUCCGCCUGGGAGUAUGGUCGCAAGGCUG